RNAcentral lists this unclassified non-coding RNA (211 nucleotides) under soil metagenome. Its description in RNAcentral is "partial contains 5.8S ribosomal RNA, internal transcribed spacer 2, and large subunit ribosomal RNA". The record is from RNAcentral.
AACCUAGCACACCUGCGGUGUGUACCUGCGGAAGGAUCAUUACCGAGUUAUACAACUCAUCAACCCCUGUGAACUUACCUACAACGUUGCUUCGGCGGGAACAGACGGCCCCGUAAAACGGGCCGCCCCCGCCAGAGGACCCCUAACUCUGUUUUUAUAAUGUUUUUCUGAGUAAACAAGCAAAUAAAUUAAAACUUUCAACAACGGAUCU